CCUACGGGUGGCAGCAGUGAGGAAUAUUGGUCAAUGGCCGAGAGGCUGAACCAGCCAAGUCGCGUGAGGGAAGACGGCCCUACGGGUUGUAAACCUCUUUUGUCGGGGAGCAAAGCGAACCACGUGUGGUUCAUUGAGAGUACCCGAAGAAAAAGCAUCGGCUAACUCCGUGCCAGCAGCCGCGGUAAUACGGAGGAUGCGAGCGUUAUCCGGAUUUAUUGGGUUUAAAGGGUGCGAAGGCGGAGGUGCAAGUCAGCGGUCAAAUUGCGGGGCUCAACCCCGUACUGCCGUUGAAACUGAAUCUCUUGAGUGCAGUAGAAGUAUGCGGAAUGCGUGGUGUAGCGGUGAAAUGCAUAGAUAUCACGAAGAACUCCGAUUGCGAAGGCAGCAUACCGGCGCGCAACUGACGCUCAUGCACGAAAGCGUGGGUAUCGAACAGGAUUAGAUACCCCGGUAGUC
Molecule: ribosomal RNA, 459 nt
Filed under: uncultured bacterium
Lineage: Bacteria
Description: partial 16S ribosomal RNA
Rfam family: Bacterial small subunit ribosomal RNA
Source: RNAcentral